CAUGUAGGCGGCUUAAUAAGUCGAGCGUGAAAAUGCGGGGCUCAACCCCGUAUGGCGCUGGAAACUGUUAGGCCUGAGUGCAGGAGAGGAAAGGGGAAUUCCCAGUGUAGCGGUGAAAUGCGUAGAUAUUGGGAGGAACACCAGUGGCGAAGGCGCCUUCUGGACUGUGUCUGACGCUGAGAUGCGAAAGCCAGGGUAGCGAACG
This 205-nucleotide ribosomal RNA is filed under the name uncultured bacterium. RNAcentral's name for it is "partial 16S ribosomal RNA". It matches the Rfam family "Bacterial small subunit ribosomal RNA", at positions 568 to 774 of the family's 1533-position model. The record is from RNAcentral.